GAUGAAGAACGUAGCGAAAUGCGAUAAGUAGUGUGAAUUGCAGAAUUCCGUGAAUCAUCGAAUCUUUGAACGCACAUUGCGCCUUCUGGUAUUCCGGAAGGCAUGCCUGUUCGAGAGUCAUUAACAACCGUUUCGAUCCCUUUCUUUCAGAAAUUACAAAGAGCAAAAGGGUUUGGUUAUGGUGGAGGAGGGGAAGGGAGCGUUUAGCCUGUAAAAAAAGAGGCUGUGUUCCGCCUCCCCCCCAAAAUUGUACAGGCGGUCGUGUGCGCCCACGCAUCGAGGUGUUGUAAAAGCUGCCACGGCACUUUUCACCUGUGCAGUGCGAGAUUGGCCAGCCGGUUUAAAAACCCCUCCAAACAAUCAAAGGUUGACCUCGGAUCAGGUAGGGAUACCCGCUGAACUUAAGCAUAUCAAUAAGCGGAGGA
Molecule: unclassified non-coding RNA, 425 nt
Filed under: soil metagenome
Description: partial contains 5.8S ribosomal RNA, internal transcribed spacer 2, and large subunit ribosomal RNA
Rfam family: 5.8S ribosomal RNA (bases 1-120)
Source: RNAcentral